Molecule: ribosomal RNA, 523 nt
Filed under: uncultured eukaryote
Lineage: Eukaryota
Description: eukaryotic LSU rRNA
Rfam family: Eukaryotic large subunit ribosomal RNA
Source: RNAcentral
GCAAAUCGUUCGUCCGACGUGCGAAUAGGGGCGAAAGACCAAUCGAACCUCCUAGUAGCUGGUUUCCGCCGAAAAUUUCCCUCAGGAUAGCGGCCAUCGCGGAAACGUUUUGACCGGUAGAGCGAACGACUAGAGGUACCGGGGCCGUAACGGCCUCGACCUAUUCUCGAACUCCGAACGGGCAAGGAGCCGGGGUCGCCCGAUCGGACCCCGGACGUGAAGUCGACGAUGGUCGGUGGGCUGGUUUUGGUAAGCAGAACGGGCGAUUCGGGAUGAACCGGAAGCGGGGAGAAAAGGGCCCCGAGAUUGCGUCGACGCGGAUCCCGAAAAGGGCGUCGAUCCGUCGCGACAGCGGGACGGUGGUCAUGGGAAGUCGAAAUCCGCUAAGAAGCGUGUAAAAACGUACCCGCCCAACGGAUCGGCCCCGAAAAUUGAUGGCGCUCGAACGCAACCCUCGAACCCCGCCGACGGAGGCUAGGGGAGGCCCCGUCGAGUAGGCGGACGCGCGGGUCGCUUCGACGCU